Molecule: long non-coding RNA, 1182 nt
Organism: Cygnus atratus (black swan)
Lineage: Eukaryota; Metazoa; Chordata; Aves; Anseriformes; Anatidae
Exons: 3
Source: RefSeq, a predicted model, not a curated record
GUUUCCAGGCAGUGGGGUAAACGAGCCAAAGAAUUCAAAGCCACAGUCUCUCCCAUUCCUACCCACCAGAUUAUAACUGCAGCCAGAAGAGAGAUGCAGAUGAAAUGGGAGAGCAAGAGAAUGCAGUUACUGUGCUGAGAGGUAUGGUCCAAAGAAACACGUUAAUUUUGCUAGGGCUUGGGCCAGCAGAAGGGGCCCAGAGUGGCAGAGAGGGAAGGAGAUGAAGGAAAAAGAGGGGAUUAUCAAACCCAUUGCCUAACACACAUCGCCUGGUGCUGCUGGUUACUUGCCUCAAGGCCACCCACACAGGCUUUGCACAGCCUCUAAAAUUUUGAUCUGCCAAGUUUCACACAGAUCUGGUUAAUUCCUGUUCAAGAAGCAAGUCUUCUGACUCAGUCAUAUCCUAAAAUUCUUCCUUAUGAAGGUUUCACUCUAUUGAGGGCCAGAAAUGCAGAUCCAUUUGCUGAUGUGAUUUGACUAAUCCCACUAUAAUGAGGAAGUGGAACAGCUGAGAUGAAAGCCUGAGCUCUCACUGUGCAAAGUACUUCAAAGGAAACUGCUUUGAGCUCAUUCCAGCUAAAAUAAGCCUUUGACGCAUCUUGCAGGGCCUUGAUUCCACUGCUGUCUGACACUUGGAGCAGCAAGAAGGAAAGCAACAUCUUCAAGCUUAGCCAGCUGGUCGUUAUCAGAGACAGCCAAAACCUUCAUGCAAUCUGCAGAGGAAGACUUGCACCCCUAUCCUAGGCCACAAGGAAAAUCUUUUCUCUGAAUUCAUGACCUCUUCUGAACUUGUAACCAUCAGCAAAAUUCAGAGUGAGGUUUACACUGCAGAGAAAUGGGAAUACCUACAUUGAAUCUAUGCUGGAAAGGAAAGUUUUUCUGCAAACACAGUUAUGGUUGUAAAUCUCAGCUCCACAGGCCAGGAUUCCUUCCUGAAGAUAGUCCAGUACUGCUUGCCCAAACAAGCAGUCUUUUGCAUCACAGUUUGAUAUAAUUUCCCCCAUCUGCUUGGAGAAGGAAGAUGUUUGUACGUUUUUUUGUUUGUUUUUGUUUUUGUUUUUAUCUAGCAAUAUUCCUGGGUUCCUUGAAAUGCUUGAAGAAGCCUCAUGUUUCCGUAAAACACUGGCCAUUGUCCUUUGCCUUUCGUCUUAAUAUUGCUGCAAUACAGUUUGUUUCUUUGAA